UAGCGGCGGACGGGUGAGUAACACGUGGGUAACCUGCCCAUAAGACUGGGAUAACUCCGGGAAACCGGGGCUAAUACCGGAUAANAUUUUGAACUGCAUGGUUCGAAAUUGAAAGGCGGCUUCGGCUGUCACUUAUGGAUGGACCCGCGUCGCAUUAGCUAGUUGGUGAGGUAACGGCUCACCAAGGCAACGAUGCGUAGCCGACCUGAGAGGGUGAUCGGCCACACUGGGACUGAGACACGGCCCAGACUCCUACGGGAGGCAGCAGUAGGGAAUCUUCCGCAAUGGACGAAAGUCUGACGGAGCAACGCCGCGUGAGUGAUGAAGGCUUUCGGGUCGUAAAACUCUGUUGUUAGGGAAGAACAAGUGCUAGUUGAAUAAGCUGGCACCUUGACGGUACCUAACCAGAAAGCCACGGCUAACUACGUGCCAGCAGCCGCGGUAAUACGUAGGUGGCAAGCGUUAUCCGGAAUUAUUGGGCGUAAAGCGCGCGCAGGUGGUUUCUUAAGUCUGAUGUGAAAGCCCACGGCUCAACCGUGGAGGGUCAUUGGAAACUGGGAGACUUGAGUGCAGAAGAGGAAAGUGGAAUUCCAUGUGUAGCGGUGAAAUGCGUAGAGAUAUGGAGGAACACCAGUGGCGAA
This 641-nucleotide ribosomal RNA is filed under the name unidentified microorganism. RNAcentral describes it as "bacterial SSU rRNA". It matches the Rfam family "Bacterial small subunit ribosomal RNA", at positions 93 to 719 of the family's 1533-position model. The record is from RNAcentral.